Oncorhynchus keta (chum salmon) is the source of this 348-nucleotide long non-coding RNA. RefSeq lists it as uncharacterized. Lineage: Eukaryota; Metazoa; Chordata; Actinopteri; Salmoniformes; Salmonidae. The record is from RefSeq and is a predicted model, not a curated record. The transcript has 2 exons.
UCCUGGAGAUCUACAGUCUUGUAGGUUCAGUCCAACCCUCUUCCAGGAGAUCUACCGUCCUGUAGGUUCACUACUAAUUAACUGCUCAACAAGACCGUAGCAAGAUGAAUCAAAACCAAUAAAUUAUGGUUGGACUAAAAACCUACAGGUCAGUAGAUCUCCAGGCAGAGGGUUGGACUGAAAACCCACAGGUCAGUAGAUCUCCAGGCAGAGGGUUGGGCUGAAAACCAACAGGACAGUAGCUCUCCAGGCAGAGGGUUGGGCUGAAAACCUACAGGACAGUAGAUCUCCAGGCAGAGGGUUGGGCUGAAAACCUACAGGACAGUAGAUGUCCAGGCAGAGGGUUGG